This 72-nucleotide transfer RNA is filed under the name Salmo salar (Atlantic salmon). It matches the Rfam family "tRNA". Rfam says of the family: Transfer RNA (tRNA) molecules are approximately 80 nucleotides in length. Their secondary structure includes four short double-helical elements and three loops (D, anti-codon, and T loops). The record is from Rfam by way of RNAcentral. Lineage: Eukaryota; Metazoa; Chordata; Actinopteri; Salmoniformes; Salmonidae.
UUCCCUGUGGCUCAGUUGGUAGAGCAUGGUGUUUGCAACGCCAGGGUUGCGGGUUCGAUUCCCACAGGGAAC